CAUCCUCGAUCUGCUGUGGGCAGAUGUAAUGGAUGUGGCUGUCAAACCCGCCUGCGGUGAGGAUACGCCCCUCGCCCGCGAUGGCCUCUGUGCCGGGGCCGACAAUGAUAUCGACGCCCGGCUGAGUGUCAGGGUUGCCCGCCUUGCCGAUCUUGUGGAUGCGCCCGUCGCGCAGGCCGACAUCGGCCUUGUAGAUACCGGUGUAGUCCACGAUCAGCGCGUUGGUGAUGACGGUGUCGACCGCGCCCUCGGCCCGUGUGGCCUGCGACUGCCCCAUGCCGUCGCGGAUG
RNAcentral lists this small RNA (290 nucleotides) under Marivita hallyeonensis. Its description in RNAcentral is "Marivita sp. DPG-28 5' ureB small RNA". It matches the Rfam family "5' ureB small RNA". Lineage: Bacteria; Pseudomonadati; Pseudomonadota; Alphaproteobacteria; Rhodobacterales; Roseobacteraceae. The record is from Rfam by way of RNAcentral.